AGACAGAACUGCACCCUGAUUCUCUGCCAGGAGCCUCUGAGACUCAAAAAACUGGGUCUGGAGAAGCGUGGGACAACUGAGUGCUCUCUCUGAUGUCUCACUUCAGCCAGUAAGAGACACUCCACGGAGUACAGGCUUUUAUCCAGGGCAAGGUCACCAAGGGGUUGAAGCCGCAAUUUCAUUGAGAACGCAUCAAGGACAGAGCAAGUGCCCAGGAAAACCAAAGCAGGCGUUUCCUGGCCCCACAGCCUUACAGGGACAGUGUCUGUGGAUGGCUUUGACCAACUGGACGAACAGGAACACCAGGAGGCCCAGAAGCAACAUGGAGCCCAAAGUGAUGACGAAAGGCACAUACCAUGCUGAUGAAGAAUAAACGUUUUUUCUCAGGACCUGGCGGAUGACCUGCGGCUUGAAUGACAGAGUGGGGGACGCUGCUGAGGCCUCCAACACCAGGACCCUUGGAAACAGCGUACCUGAGCCAAUGGAGUAACGAAAAGACCUGGGACUGGAAUCAAGGUCAGUACACGUCAGCUUGAAAUUCUGAAUGUUUG
Molecule: long non-coding RNA, 551 nt
Organism: Prionailurus viverrinus (fishing cat)
Lineage: Eukaryota; Metazoa; Chordata; Mammalia; Carnivora; Felidae
Exons: 5
Source: RefSeq, a predicted model, not a curated record